This 497-nucleotide ribosomal RNA is filed under the name uncultured bacterium. RNAcentral describes it as "partial 16S ribosomal RNA". It matches the Rfam family "Bacterial small subunit ribosomal RNA", at positions 28 to 507 of the family's 1533-position model. The record is from RNAcentral.
GGUGAACGCUGGCGGCGUGCCUAAUACAUGCAAGUCGAGCGAACGGACGAUAAGCGUGCUCUUUUGAGGUUAGCGGCGGACGGGUGAGUAAGGCGUGGAUAACCUACUUAUAAGACUGGGAGAACUUCGGGAAACAGGAGCUAAUACCAGAGAAUAUGUUGAACGGCAGGGUUCAAGAGUGCAAGGCGGUUUUGCUGUCACAUAGAGAUGGAUCCGGGCUGCAUUAGCGAGUUGGUAAGGUAACGGCUUACCAAGGCAACGAUGCAUAGCCGACCUGAGAGGGUGAUCGGCCACACUGGAACUGAGACACGGUCCAGACUCCUACGGGAGGCAGCAGUAGGGAAUCUUCCGCAAUGGGCGAAAGCCUGACGGAGCAACGCCGCGUGAGUGAUGAAGGUCUUCGGAUCGUAAAACUCUGUUAUUAGGGAAGAACAUAUGUGUAAGUAACUGUGCACAUCUUGACGGUACCUAAUCAGAAAGCCACGGCUAACUACGUG